UACGUAGGGUGCAAGCGUUGUCCGGAAUUAUUGGGCGUAAAGAGCUCGUAGGCGGUCUGUUGCGUCGGCUGUGAAAAUCCGGGGCUCAACCCCGGACUCGCAGUGGGUACGGGCAGACUAGAGUGUGGUAGGGGAGACUGGAAUUCCUGGUGUAGCGGUGAAAUGCGCAGAUAUCAGGAGGAACACCGAUGGCGAAGGCAGGUCUCUGGGCCACUACUGACGCUGAGAAGCGAAAGCAUGGGGAGCGAACAGG
RNAcentral lists this ribosomal RNA (253 nucleotides) under uncultured bacterium. Its description in RNAcentral is "partial 16S ribosomal RNA". It matches the Rfam family "Bacterial small subunit ribosomal RNA", at positions 524 to 776 of the family's 1533-position model. The record is from RNAcentral.